Molecule: RNA transcript, 852 nt
Organism: Ixodes scapularis (black-legged tick)
Lineage: Eukaryota; Metazoa; Arthropoda; Arachnida; Ixodida; Ixodidae
Exons: 6
Source: RefSeq, a predicted model, not a curated record
CGUCGGCCUGCUGUUCGCGGUUCAUUUCCGUUUCCGACUGUGCAUAGUGUUGUUGUUAUUAGAGUUGAUUGUUUAUCUCCUUCUCUCCCCCCCCCCCUCCCCGCUGUCCUCGUCUUUUUUUCUUCAGUUCAUCUUUUUUCCUUGUGCAACAGCAGACUGUCGCACAAGAGCGACAUCUUUUUCAUCCGUGGUGUCACCUGAACCGUAGAAAGACUCGCUUCUUAGUGUGGCCCGUGAGGCUGUGCGCUUUCCGCUGUCUGCUUUCACAAACACAAAUACGGUGAUGUACCCAGAGUGCAUCGCUCGCUAGCCUUGCGCCUGGUCAAGGAGGAGUUGCUCAGUGAACUACUAGUUUGAGUUCCCUGAGACGACACCACUGACAUCACCUACAGUGCCGAGGUACAGGCUUAAUGGCAGAUAUCAAUAGGAGUUGAUGGUGCUGCCACAGACUUCGGCUCGUGGGGGUGCCGUCGCUACUGACAAAGCUUGUGCUCCCCGUCGUCCCUGUUGAAAUGGCGGCUGGAACUUGGAGAGGGUUCGCUACCACAGCCAGAUCCAGUGUUACAUUCCUGUGGCUUUUUGGUUGUUUCCCAAUUAUUGAAGGGAGUUGCAGGCUUAUCAUGGGCGACACAGUGCUUUGCUCGCACCUUCAUGGAGUACGGCAAUGUUUGGAAGCAAGUCGAGGACAGCCUCUCUCGAUUUCUGUCCCGGGGGCACUAUGGUCUUUCAGCUCACACCUUACAGACAUGUCAGGAAGCAAGGAAAGGUCAUUUUUUCACUCAUCGUUUACAUUUGUCUUAGUCUUUUGAAAAAAAAAACACUAGUCAUUUUAAUGACAUUGUGAUCAAUAAA